GCGAGAUGGACAAAUUAUCUAUUCACGAAAAUACUCUGUUAAUAGAUAUUCUUAAAUUUUCUUAGACCUAGACCCUGUAGAUUAGGCUGCCUAAAAAUAUUUCAGACUUAAAAAUUCUGUCAAAACUUCGACAAAACCUCCUCUAAAUUAUAGAUAUUUACCUCCCGUAGAACAGGUCCAGAACCUGCUAGAAACACUUCAAAUAUUUUGCAAUUAACUAACGAGAGUUGAGCUGCUAGUACUGUAUUAUUUUUUUCGACUCUACAAUAUACCACAAAUCACAAUUAAUUAAAUCCAAUUAAGUUUAAUUUAUCUAUAAUUGAUAAUUAACAGCAACAAAAUUUUUCUAAAAUUAUAACAUAAUUUUUGAGGUCUAAAUUAAAUUACACCGAGCUGAAAUUUCAAUUCCUACCAACAGUUUCGGAAUUCAAAUUCGUAAGCGUCUACGGGAAGCUCGAAUUGCAAGGAGUCCGAAAACACAAGAGUUUCGUCCGGAAGGCAUCGGAUCGGGGCUGGAAAGUCUCGGCUCUGGCGAAGCUCCUCCGAGGCUGCCGAUGGUGGAAAGUGGCGGGGGAGGCUUUUUUCUCGGGUUUUCGGCGGUGAGGGAUCCGAAUCCGGCAUCAGACGAUCGAUUGGACAUCGGUAGGCGGCCAAAACAGCGACGACAACUCCUUCUUCCUUCGGUUGAAGUCGCUGUGGAAGGGAAGGAAAAGGGGAAGGGCAACACAGUAGCGUGGGGGGAAGGAGGCGCUGCUGGCGGCGGCGGCGGCCUGUUCGGUGCGCAAGCAGGAGGGGAAAGAGGGGAGUCGAUGUAGGGGAGAGGAAAGGGGAGGAAAGAAAAAAAAGAGAAAAAUGUUUUUUUAAAUUAUUAUUAUUAUUAUUAUUUUCGGGUAUUACACUAGUAUU
Molecule: long non-coding RNA, 906 nt
Filed under: Ricinus communis (castor bean)
Lineage: Eukaryota; Viridiplantae; Streptophyta; Magnoliopsida; Malpighiales; Euphorbiaceae
Description: long non-coding RNA (RCOM_LNC002154)
Source: RNAcentral